CAUCCUUCUCAGAUUUUGGAAGGCGCUUCAGAUUCUUAAGCCUUGGGUGGAGUACUGUAGCUAUCUUUAGAAAUCUUGCAUUGGUAUCUUCUUUCCAUUUUAUCAAAUCUCCAGUGAAAGUGUUAUU
Molecule: long non-coding RNA, 127 nt
Organism: Gopherus evgoodei (Goodes thornscrub tortoise)
Lineage: Eukaryota; Metazoa; Chordata; Testudines; Testudinidae
Exons: 3
Source: RefSeq, a predicted model, not a curated record